Molecule: ribosomal RNA, 178 nt
Filed under: uncultured Flavobacterium sp.
Lineage: Bacteria; Pseudomonadati; Bacteroidota; Flavobacteriia; Flavobacteriales; Flavobacteriaceae
Description: partial 16S ribosomal RNA
Rfam family: Bacterial small subunit ribosomal RNA
Source: RNAcentral
CUCCUACGGGAGGCAGCAGUGAGGAAUAUUGGACAAUGGGCGCAAGCCUGAUCCAGCCAUGCCGCGUGCAGGAUGACGGUCCUAUGGAUUGUAAACUGCUUUUAUACGAGAAGAAACACUUGUUCGUGAACAAGCUUGACGGUACUGUAAGAAUAAGGAUCGGCUAACUCCGUGCCAG